GACGAACGCUGGCGGCGCGCUUAACACAUGCAAGUCGAACGGAAAGGCCUGCUUUCCCUUGUGGAUUGCGGGUACUCGAGUGGCGAACGGGUGAGUAACACGUGAGUGAUCUGCCCCCAACUUGGGUAUAAGCCUGGGAAACUGGGUCUAAUUCCCGAUAGGACUGCAGGGUGGUGCCUGUGGUGGAAAACGAUUUUCUAGUGGUUGGGGAUGAGCUCGCGGCCUAUCAGCUUGUUGGUGGGGUAAUGGCCUACCAAGGCGGCGACGGGUAGCCGGCCUGAGAGGGUGGACGGCCACAUUGGGACUGAGAUACGGCCCAGACUCCUACGGGAGGCAGCAGUGGGGAAUAUUGCACAAUGGGCGGAAGCCUGAUGCAGCGACGCCGCGUGGGGGAUGACGGCCUUCGGGUUGUAAACUCCUUUCGACCGCGAGGAAGCCACCUGGUUGGAAGGGGGGUGACGGUAGUGGUAGAAGAAGCACCGGCUAACUACGUG
RNAcentral lists this ribosomal RNA (494 nucleotides) under uncultured bacterium. RNAcentral's name for it is "partial 16S ribosomal RNA". It matches the Rfam family "Bacterial small subunit ribosomal RNA", at positions 28 to 507 of the family's 1533-position model. The record is from RNAcentral.